RNAcentral lists this ribosomal RNA (385 nucleotides) under uncultured bacterium. Its description in RNAcentral is "bacterial SSU rRNA". It matches the Rfam family "Bacterial small subunit ribosomal RNA", at positions 29 to 417 of the family's 1533-position model. The record is from RNAcentral.
AUUGAACGCUGGCGGAAUGCUUUACACAUGCAAGUCGAGCGGCAGCGCGGGGCAACCUGGCGGCGAGCGGCGAACGGGUGAGUAAUGCAUCGGAACAUGUCCAUGUCGUGGGGGAUAGCCCGGCGAAAGCCGGAUUAAUACCGCAUACGCCCGAGAGGGGAAAGUGGGGGACCGCAAGGCCUCACGCGAUUGGGUUGGCCGAUGUCCGAUUAGCUAGUUGGCGGGGUAAGAGCCCACCAAGGCGAUGAUCGGUAGCUGGUCUGAGAGGAUGAUCAGCCACACUGGGACUGAGACACGGCCCAGACUCCUACGGGAGGCAGCAGUGGGGAAUUUGGACAAUGGGGGCAACCCUGAUCCAGCCAUUCCGCGUGAGUGAAGAAGGCCU